This 289-nucleotide ribosomal RNA is filed under the name uncultured Synergistaceae bacterium. RNAcentral's name for it is "partial 16S ribosomal RNA". It matches the Rfam family "Bacterial small subunit ribosomal RNA", at positions 1098 to 1382 of the family's 1533-position model. The record is from RNAcentral. Lineage: Bacteria; Thermotogati; Synergistota; Synergistia; Synergistales; Synergistaceae.
AACCCCUCGCUGCCAGUUGGCCAACGGGUCGGAAGCCGGGCGACUCUGGCGGGACUGCCAUCGACAAGAUGGAGGAAGGUGGGGAUGACGUCAAGUCAUCAUGGCCCUUAUGUCCAGGGCGACACACGUGCUACAAUGGCCGGCACAGCGGGAAGCGAGGCAGUGAUGCCAAGCGGAUCCCUUAAAGCCGGUCUCAGUUCGAAUUGAAGUCUGCAACUCGACUUCAUGAAGCUGGAAUCGCUAGUAAUCGCAGAUCAGCCAAGCUGCGGUGAAUACGUUCCCGGGCCUU